CCAGCUCUGGUUCCCCAGCCUACUGGAGGAUAAGAGGAUAUAAAGGUCUCUUAUCCUCCAGUAGACUAGGGAGCCAGAGCUGGUAAUAAAAGUC
Non-coding RNA from Homo sapiens (human), 94 nucleotides. The record is from RefSeq and is marked provisional. Lineage: Eukaryota; Metazoa; Chordata; Mammalia; Primates; Hominidae.